AGUGGCGGACGGGUGAGUAACGCGUGAGAAUCUACCUUCAGGACGGGGACAACAGCUGGAAACGGCUGCUAAUACCCGAUAUGCCGAAAGGUGAAAAGUUUUUUCGCCUGGAGAGGAGCUCGCGUCCGAUUAGCUAGUUGGUGAGGUAAAAGCUUACCAAGGCGACGAUCGGUAGCUGGUCUGAGAGGAUGAGCAGCCACACUGGAACUGAGACACGGUCCAGACUCCUACGGGAGGCAGCAGUGGGGAAUUUUCCGCAAUGGGCGAAAGCCUGACGGAGCAACGCCGCGUGGGGGAAGAAGGUUUUUGGAUUGUAAACCCCUUUUCUCAAGGAAGAACAAAAUGACGGUACUUGAGGAAUCAGCCUCGGCUAACUCCGUGCCAGCAGCCGCGGUAAUACGGAGGAGGCAAGCGUUAUCCGGAAUUAUUGGGCGUAAAGCGUUCGUAGGCGGCUGUUCAAGUCUGCUGUCAAAGACCGAGGCUCAACCUCGGGUAGGCAGUGGAAACUGGAUAGCUAGAGGUCGGUAGGGGCAGAGGGAAUUCCCAGUGUAGCGGUGAAAUGCGUAGAUAUUGGGAAGAACACCGGUGGCGAAAGCGCUCUGCUGGGCCGCACCUGACGCUGAGGGACGAAAGCUAGGGGAGCGAAUGGGAUUAGAUACCCC
Molecule: ribosomal RNA, 662 nt
Filed under: uncultured bacterium
Lineage: Bacteria
Description: bacterial SSU rRNA
Rfam family: Bacterial small subunit ribosomal RNA
Source: RNAcentral